Molecule: ribosomal RNA, 465 nt
Filed under: uncultured bacterium
Lineage: Bacteria
Description: bacterial SSU rRNA
Rfam family: Bacterial small subunit ribosomal RNA
Source: RNAcentral
GCCAGACUCCUACGGGAGGCAGCAGUGAGGAAUAUUGGUCAAUGGGCGGAAGCCUGAACCAGCCAAGUCGCGUGAGGGAUUAAGGCCCUGCGGGUCGUAAACCUCUUUUGCCGGGGAGCAGUGGUCCGGACGCGUCCGGACCGGGAGAGUACCCGGAGAAAAAGCAUCGGCUAACUCCGUGCCAGCAGCCGCGGUAAUACGGAGGAUGCGAGCGUUAUCCGGAUUUAUUGGGUUUAAAGGGUGCGUAGGCGGGCAUUUAAGUCAGCGGUAAAAUCGUGGGGCUCAACCCCAUCCAGCCGUUGAAACUGGGGAUCUAGAGUGUGCGAGAGGUAUGCGGAAUGCGUGGUGUAGCGGUGAAAUGCAUAGAUAUCACGCAGAACCCCGAUUGCGAAGGCAGCAUACCGGUGCACAACUGACGCUCAGGCACGAAAGCGUGGGUAUCGAACAGGAUUAGAUACCCUUGUA